AGAGUGAACGCUGGCGGUAGGCCUAACACAUGCAAGUCGAACGGCAGCACAGUAGGAGCUUGCUCUUACGGGUGGCGAGUGGCGGACGGGUGAGGAAUACAUCGGAAUCUACCUUUUGGUGGGGGAUAACGUAGGGAAACUUACGCUAAUACCGCAUACGCCCUUCGGGGAAAGCCGGGGACCAGCAAUGGCCUGGCGCUGAUAGAUGAGCCGAUGUCGGAUUAGCUAGUUGGUGAGGUAAUGGCUCACCAAGGCGACCGAUCCGUAGCUGGUCUGAGAGGAUGAUCAGCCACACUGGAACUGAGACACGGUCCAAGACCUCCGUACGGGAGCAGCAGUGGGGAAUAGUUGGACUAAAGUGGGCGUACGAAAGCC
RNAcentral lists this ribosomal RNA (375 nucleotides) under uncultured soil bacterium. Its description in RNAcentral is "bacterial SSU rRNA". It matches the Rfam family "Bacterial small subunit ribosomal RNA", at positions 26 to 383 of the family's 1533-position model. The record is from RNAcentral.